RNAcentral lists this transfer RNA (82 nucleotides) under Felis catus (domestic cat). It matches the Rfam family "tRNA". Rfam says of the family: Transfer RNA (tRNA) molecules are approximately 80 nucleotides in length. Lineage: Eukaryota; Metazoa; Chordata; Mammalia; Carnivora; Felidae. The record is from Rfam by way of RNAcentral.
GCUUGGUAGCUCAAUUGGUUGAGCAUCUGACUUGUGCUCAGGUCAUGAUCUCAGUUUGUGAGUUCAAGCCCCACAUUGGGCU